This is a long non-coding RNA of Rhincodon typus (whale shark), 589 nucleotides long. RefSeq lists it as uncharacterized. The record is from RefSeq and is a predicted model, not a curated record. The transcript has 2 exons. Lineage: Eukaryota; Metazoa; Chordata; Chondrichthyes; Orectolobiformes; Rhincodontidae.
CAACAGCUGCUGGUACUUGUCUGUGAAUGGAAGCCAGGCCAGCUCUCUGCCAUGCCUGCAAUGACAAAGCGUUCUGGAACUCACACAGUUUUCAAAUCAGUAGGCUGUGUGCAGCGCUGAGGAGUUAUCGGCUUACAGAGAUAAAUAUUAACGAAGACCGGGAUAUUGCCUGCGGAGCAAAACCAACACCAACUGAAGCUCCAAGGGACAGCAGCUUGAGCUCCUGGUAUUUACCAGAGCACAGGAAGAACACACAGAGUGGUGAGAAUGUGGAACUCACGACCACAUGGAGUGGCUGAGGCAAAAAGCAUAGCAGUAUUUUAGGAGAAAGGAAAAGAAGAAUAGAGCAAUAUGUUGAUAUGGUGAGAUGAAGUAGGGCAUGAGGAAGUUCCUGUGGAGCUUAAACACAGGCAUAGAUCUGUCAGGCUGAAUGGCCUCUUUCUGUGUUAUUAAUACAAUAUACCAUGGCAGAAUCAAAGUGGCCUCUACAAUCUUGAAGAAAUUCUCCUACCUUCUGAGACACAUGGCAUAUAUUGAAUUGCAAAAAUACUCAGCAGAGACAUAGUGGGAAGAACAGCAUGAGAUAAGG